AUCUGGCUCAGGACGAACGCUGGCGGCGUGCUUAACACAUGCAAGUCGAACGGUAAGGCCCCUUCGGGGGUACACGAGUGGCGAACGGGUGAGUAACACGUGGGUAAUCUGCCCUGCACUUCGGGAUAAGCCUGGGAAACUGGGUCUAAUACCGGAUAUGACUUCUGGCCGCAUGGUCUGGGAGUGGAAAGUUUUUUCGGUGCAGGAUGAGUCCGCGGCCUAUCAGCUUGUUGGUGGGGUAAUGGCCUACCAAGGCGACGACGGGUAGCCGGCCUGAGAGGGUGAUCGGCCACACUGGGACUGAGACACGGCCCAGACUCCUACGGGAGGCAGCAGUGGGGAAUAUUGCACAAUGGGCGGAAGCCUGAUGCAGCGACGCCGCGUGGGGGAUGACGGUCUUCGGAUUGUAAACCCCUUUCAGUAGGGACGAAGCGCAAGUGACGGUACCUGCAGAAGAAGCACCGGCUAACUACGUGCCAGCAGCCGCGGUAAUACGUAGGGUGCGAGCGUUGUCCGGAAUUACUGGGCGUAAAGAGCUCGUAGGCGGUUUGUCACGUCGUCUGUGAAAUCCCUCGGCUUAACCGGGGGCGUGCAGGCGAUACGGGCAGACUUGAGUAUACAGGGGAGACUGGAAUUCCUGGUGUAGCGGUGAAAUGCGCAGAUAUCAGGAGGAACACCGGUGGCGAAGGCGGGUCU
Molecule: ribosomal RNA, 696 nt
Filed under: Dietzia sp.
Lineage: Bacteria; Bacillati; Actinomycetota; Actinomycetes; Mycobacteriales; Dietziaceae
Description: bacterial SSU rRNA
Rfam family: Bacterial small subunit ribosomal RNA
Source: RNAcentral